Molecule: small RNA, 34 nt
Filed under: Bombyx mori (domestic silkworm)
Lineage: Eukaryota; Metazoa; Arthropoda; Insecta; Lepidoptera; Bombycidae
Description: ovarian small RNA-20677
Source: RNAcentral
UACCCGUUGUUUUUGUUUGAGCAAUGGAGGGACG